This is a small nuclear RNA of Camelus dromedarius (Arabian camel), 104 nucleotides long. The record is from Ensembl. NCBI's taxonomy places the organism in Eukaryota, Metazoa, Chordata, Mammalia, Artiodactyla, Camelidae.
GUGCUCGCUUCAGCAGCACAUGUAAUAAAAGUGGAAUGCUACAGAGAUUAGCAUGCCCCCUGUGCAAGUAUGACAUGCAACCUUGUGAAGUGUUCCAUAUUUUU